This is a non-coding RNA of Acanthosepion pharaonis, 107 nucleotides long. The record is from the annotation of a GenBank genome assembly. NCBI's taxonomy places the organism in Eukaryota, Metazoa, Mollusca, Cephalopoda, Sepiida, Sepiidae.
UAUGGCCAUAUCACGUUGAAAGACCGGUUCUCGUACGAUCAUCGAAAUUAAGCAACGUCGAGCCUGGUCAGUACCUAGAUGGUUAAGCACUUGGGAAUAUCAGGUAC